Molecule: ribosomal RNA, 460 nt
Filed under: uncultured bacterium
Lineage: Bacteria
Description: SSU rRNA
Rfam family: Bacterial small subunit ribosomal RNA
Source: RNAcentral
AGAAUCAACGCUGGCGGCGUGCCUAACACAUGCAAGUCGAACGAGAAAGUGGAGCAAUCCAUGAGUAAAGUGGCGCACGGGUGAGUAACACGUGACUAACCUACCCUUGAGUGGGGGAUAACCUAGAGAAAUCUGGGCUAAUACCGCAUAAUACCUUCGGGUCAAAGGAGCAAUUCGCUUAAGGAGGGGGUCGCGGCCGAUUAGUUAGUUGGCGGGGUAAUGGCCCACCAAGACUGUGAUCGGUAUCCGGCCUGAGAGGGCGCACGGACACACUGGAACUGAAACACGGUCCAGACUCCUACGGGAGGCAGCAGUGGGGAAUUUUGCGCAAUGGGGGGAAACCCUGACGCAGCAACGCCGCGUGGAGGAUGAAGCCCCUUGGGGCGUAAACUCCUUUCGAUCGGGAAGAUAAUGACGGUACCGAGAGAAGAGCCCCGGCUAACUUCGCGCCAGCAGCCGC